Molecule: long non-coding RNA, 861 nt
Organism: Megalobrama amblycephala (Wuchang bream)
Lineage: Eukaryota; Metazoa; Chordata; Actinopteri; Cypriniformes; Xenocyprididae
Exons: 3
Source: RefSeq, a predicted model, not a curated record
GUUCUGCGCGAUAACAUCCAGGGAAUCACCAAACCCGCCAUCCGUCGUCUCCAUGUGACUGUCACUGAACUGUUACCAGUGUUUGUGUACAUGACCGACCAAUGGUGGUGAAGAAGGAGAGACUGAAGGAGAGAAAGGUUUUCAUCAGAUGUGCUUCAGUAAUUUCCACAGUCGCUUUGGGAUCAUGCAGGUUUUCCAGAACUUUGGUGUGUAUUACGAGGAACAAGAGAACAUCGAGAAACAAAAGGAAGAAGAGAAGAAAAAGAAGGAGGAAACAGAUCAUUAAACUGAAUAAACUUGACCUGCACACAGCAGAGCAGCAUCAGACUGCAGAAGUUUGUCUUCCUCAUGUGGCGUCACUACAACUACGAGCGAAUGAGACAAGGAGCUGAUUUCUACCUGCUUCAGUCCAACUCCACUUAUGUGAACAUCUGGACUGCUGUUCAGAGUCUCGUCAUCAUCACCGCUGGAUACCUGCAGCUCAGCUUCCUCAAGAGGCUCUUCAAGAGCAAACCAGCAGAGGGCGACAAACCCCGCUGUUAACAAACUCUAGAACUGCGACUGUUUCACCUCCAUUUAUAACCUGAUCUUCAGUGAUUAUUCUGAUCUUGAGUAACAGAUUUUUUCUUUUUCUUUUUUUCUUUUAGUAACAACAAGGUCUCAUUUGAACUGUUUUUUUGCUUCUUUUUUAAUGCAGAGAUUUAAUAAUUUUGCCCUUGUCCAAUGAAAGAGACUUAAGAAUAUGAAAGUAUAUAAUAUUUCCAUCACACCGAACAAUUACAAGAAGACAACAGUGAAGAUGCUCGAGAUGAAAUGUGACACAUCUGAUGAGUAUAGGAAAUAAAGGAAAGUCAAAGUAAA